RNAcentral lists this long non-coding RNA (1377 nucleotides) under Corvus moneduloides (New Caledonian crow). Its description in RNAcentral is "lncRNA (ENSCMUG00000017271.1)". Lineage: Eukaryota; Metazoa; Chordata; Aves; Passeriformes; Corvidae. The record is from RNAcentral.
CUAAGCUGACAGCGUGCCCCUGCAUCCUGUGCUACAAUGAGUGCCAUCUGAAGGAGCCGUACGAGAGGAAGUUCCUCAUUGUGAAUAACAGCCACAUUCCUGGCUGCUAUGAGCUUAUUGCCCAGAAACGCAAGGAAGAUACUCCUGUGUUCUACUCCAGCUCCGAGCCCUGUGGGAUUGUCCAGCCUUUCAGCACAGCAGAGAUUCCAGUUACAAUCAAAGCCCAAAAAUUGGGUGAGUAUGACACCAGUGUCCUUAUUGGCGUGUUCGGGGAUGAAGGAAACCCGCUGGUGAGUGCAAGGGGAGACGUGUGCCUUUGUGCAACUCAUCCUGGCAGGGUGCAAAGCGUACAGGGAUUCUUCCAGAGAAAACAGGCACAGGCUGGUGUGGAGAAGAACAGAAGGGAUUGGUGGCAUACAUAGCUCAUGCCUUAUAGGUGGUAAUCUCAGUGUCUGACACAACGUAUCGUUCAUCUAAGCUGGAAUCAAGGAUAAUUUUAGUUAAUUAAUCUUUAAAAUGCCAUUAACUUUGGAAACAUCUGUUUAAAAAUGUCAUGUCAUCUCUCUGAGCACAAAAGAGAAUGUCAGAAGAUUUCUGGAAACCUUGAGCUUUCUGUAAAAGAAAGGAAAGCUGGCAUUUGGAAAGUAGUUGCAAGGAUCCAAACAUAUUAAGACAUAUGGAAAUGAUGAUGCCAAAUUCCCUGGAUGGCACCAUCACACUGGGCCAGUGUGGCACUGCAUGUAAGUCAGUCAACAGGAGGGCCAGGCAGUGCAGGCUGUGGCAGGGAGCCUGAAGUUUGACUAAACAGUUGCUUUUAACUAUCACGCUCCUUACCUUAAAGAGGAGGGUUUCUCCCCACUAGAAUAACCAGUUGUUUAACUGUCAGCCUGGUCUUAACUACAGAUUUCUUGAAAAGCUUUUACCUUUGGGCCAAUAAUUUGUAGUUUGAAACUUUCUCUUACCUUAAUCCUUUUUAAUUCAGAGGUGAAUGUAGAGGGAUUCCUUGUGGAACAGGGGCAUAUGACAGCCCAGGAGAGUUUGGGCAACCCAGGGCUGCUGCAGAAGCACCCCUGAAGGGCCCUCAGGCUGCAGAUAGGCCAGAAAGACACCUGGCAGCAGGCAGCCUUGAACAGCCUUGGGAAAAGUUACACGCUGGUCGGCUCCCCUGCUGCUUAGAGGCUGUCCUGUGGAAAUAGGGCAUGAAGCUUUGUAAAGUAGAUAUAAGUGAGUGUAAGUAAACAAGAAAGGAAGCACGAUGCUCAAAUCGUAUCGGUGUUCGUAUCGUGACUUUGGCCGGCUCCCCUGCGCUCAGAACCCUCCCCCCCCCGCUAAAGGUGAAUGUGUCUUUUUUUUCCCCCAAAAAGCCCAGAAUUUCAG